This 238-nucleotide ribosomal RNA is filed under the name Synchroma pusillum. RNAcentral describes it as "partial Bacterial large subunit ribosomal RNA". It matches the Rfam family "Bacterial large subunit ribosomal RNA", at positions 2670 to 2907 of the family's 2925-position model. The record is from RNAcentral. Lineage: Eukaryota; Synchromophyceae; Synchromales; Synchromaceae.
AUCUAUCCCUAGUACGAGAGGACCGGGAUGGACGAACCUCUGGUGUGCCAGUUGUUCCGCCAGGAGCACGGCUGGUUAGCUACGUUCGGGAGUGAUAACCGCUGAAAGCAUCUAAGCGGGAAGCACGUUUCAAGAUGAGGUUUCCCACCGGGUAACCGGGUAAGGCCCCCAGUAGACGACUGGGUUGAUAGGCCGGAGGUCGAAGGUAGUAAUACACGGAGCCGACCGGUACUAAUAG